GUGAAUCAUCAAAUUUUUGAACGCAUAUUGCACUCUCUGUUAUUCCGGAGGGAAGGCCUAUUUGAGGGUCAUUUGAAAUAAUAUAAAUUCAAAGAUUUCUCGGAAUUUAAAAUGGUUUUUCCUUUUUUUGUGUCCGCCUAAAACCCAAGCAAACCUCAUUUUCUUGGUUUGCUUGUUACUUUCAGUAACCUCUGACCUUAACCGGGAAUC
RNAcentral lists this unclassified non-coding RNA (210 nucleotides) under Ambisporaceae sp. RNAcentral describes it as "partial internal transcribed spacer 2". The stretch from base 1 to 71 matches the Rfam family "5.8S ribosomal RNA", at positions 84 to 154 of the family's 154-position model. Lineage: Eukaryota; Fungi; Glomeromycota; Glomeromycetes; Archaeosporales; Ambisporaceae. The record is from RNAcentral.